This 372-nucleotide long non-coding RNA is filed under the name Androctonus crassicauda. The record is from RNAcentral. Lineage: Eukaryota; Metazoa; Arthropoda; Arachnida; Scorpiones; Buthidae.
CAACUAUGGCCCCUCUGAUUUUUGCUGAUUUUUGCAUAUUUUGUGGUGCAGCCCUCCCGCAAAACCAUGGUAAAGUGGUGCGACGCACCUCUCAAGCAUUCCCGAAAGGAAUGGGUUUGGGGUUUCUACAUUCUUUAUAUGCCGAGUCAUAUCACCCUCUCGCCGAGUGCUGCUGUCGUGGCGUGACGUGUUCGGCGUUUGGUGUGUGAUUGGUGUCUUGAACGGUUGGAAGGAUGCGGAUUUGAGUCGCUACUGGUAAAUUUUUUUUUUAUUCUUAUUGAAGAUGAGGUGGAUUAUUGUGUGAUGUAUUUUAUUAAUGAGAAUUUGUUUUUUUUGUAAUUAUUUUGUUUGCCAUACUCUUUGAACAUUUCU